This 519-nucleotide long non-coding RNA is filed under the name Nicotiana benthamiana. Its description in RNAcentral is "long non-coding RNA (NBEN_LNC011771)". The record is from RNAcentral. Lineage: Eukaryota; Viridiplantae; Streptophyta; Magnoliopsida; Solanales; Solanaceae.
AAAUCCAGCAAGUUUAGACAAGAUAGAAAGUAAGGAAGACAGAAGGUGGGUAGCGAGGAAGAAAUCCAAUAGCCUGCUCACGAUUCAACUUCCUAUUCAAGUGAAUCCGCCUGGAGCGAGCCGUGGGUAGCGAGGAAGAAAUCCAAUAGCCUGCUCACGAUUCAACUUCCUAUUCAAGUAAAUCCGCCUGGAGUGAGCCUAGUCUGGGAUCUUUCCCCAUAGCUUUCUUUCUUUGUUCUUUAUCGCCUGAUCUUUCUUUUCGUUGUUGAAUCUCUCUUUGAUUAAUCAAUGUGUGAUAUUCCUUUCCAAGAUAAACCAUUCGAAUGCUACUAAACGAGAAGAAGAGUCUAUUUGAACAGGGCACAUGCAUCACACAUAAGAAAGACGCCGAAAGACAACCAAGAAAUUUGUCCGUUUCGGCCUACUUUGGCCUUUAUACGAUAAAGUACAUCAAGAAGCUUCUAAUUGCAAUAGAAGGGUCCAGGUCAGAAUUUGCAGGUAGUUAGUCGCUUUCUCUGU